GCAGAAGAAAACCAUCAGUAAUUGAGACUUGAUGCAUUAAUCAUGCCAUGUAUAAAAAAACAAAUAAUUGAAAUUUAGAAGCAUCAAUCGUAUACUCAGAUGCAGGUUUAGACUUUAGAGAGUCAAUAAUCUAUAGUUUUGGAUAAAGCCAGCUUUAGAUGUUUUCACUUUAUAUACGUUUCUUGUUUCUUUUUUUUUUUUUGACACAAGAUUAUUUAUAGAUUCUUAGCCUUUAACCAAAUCAUUUUUCAUUUUUAUUCGUAAUUUUUAUGAUGAAAACUUAAACAUAUGAAUAUUAAAAGUAGAUCAUGUGUACACAAAACUGGGAAAAGACAUUUAUAUAUUCCAUUAUCAUAGAUUUAUAAUCAUUACAACACUUUAUGUUCUGUUCAAAGUGCAAGUACCCGCACCAAUUAAAGUAAGUUUAUAUUGUGACAUGUACUAUAGAUAGUCCAUGCGUUUCCAGCUAAUCAGACAUGUAUCUUAUUCUAUCAAAUGUGUUGAAUUCAAAAGUGAUAGAGCAAUUGGGAGUUUUGGACUUUGGCCGAAGUAACGAAUAGGUUGACAAAAACAAAGAUAAAGGCUAAAAGCCCC
This 594-nucleotide long non-coding RNA is filed under the name Capsella rubella. RNAcentral describes it as "long non-coding RNA (CRUB_LNC001267)". Lineage: Eukaryota; Viridiplantae; Streptophyta; Magnoliopsida; Brassicales; Brassicaceae. The record is from RNAcentral.